Molecule: small RNA, 127 nt
Filed under: Marmota monax (woodchuck)
Lineage: Eukaryota; Metazoa; Chordata; Mammalia; Rodentia; Sciuridae
Source: RNAcentral
GCCAGGUAUGGUGAUAUAUGCCUGUAAUCCCAGCGACUCAGGAGACUGAGGCAGGGGGAUUGCAAGUGUGAAGCAAGCCUCAGCAAUUUAGUGAGGCCCUAGGCAACUUAGUGAGACCCUGUCUCAA